RNAcentral lists this ribosomal RNA (788 nucleotides) under Thalassobacillus devorans. RNAcentral's name for it is "bacterial SSU rRNA". It matches the Rfam family "Bacterial small subunit ribosomal RNA", at positions 249 to 1023 of the family's 1533-position model. The record is from RNAcentral. Lineage: Bacteria; Bacillati; Bacillota; Bacilli; Caryophanales; Bacillaceae.
UUGGUGAGGUAACGGCUCACCAAGGCGACGAUGCGUAGCCCACCUGAGAGGGUGAUCGGCCACACUGGGACUGAGACACGGCCCAGACUCCUACGGGAGGCAGCAGUAGGGAAUCUUCCGCAAUGGACGAAAGUCUGACGGAGCAACGCCGCGUGAACGAUGAAGGUUUUCGGAUCGUAAAGUUCUGUUGUCAAGGAAGAACAAGUACCGUGCGAAUAGAGCGGUACCUUGACGGUACCUGACGAGGAAGCCCCGGCUAACUACGUGCCAGCAGCCGCGGUAAUACGUAGGGGGCAAGCGUUGUCCGGAAUUAUUGGGCGUAAAGCGCGCGCAGGCGGUUCCUUAAGUCUGAUGUGAAAGCCCACGGCUCAACCGUGGAGGGUCAUUGGAAACUGGGGAACUUGAGUACAGAAGAGGAGAGUGGAAUUCCACGUGUAGCGGUGAAAUGCGUAGAUAUGUGGAGGAACACCAGUGGCGAAGGCGACUCUCUGGUCUGUAACUGACGCUUACGCGCGAAAGCGUGCGCAGCACACAGGAUUACAUACUCUGGUAUUCCACGCCAUACACCAUGAGUGCUACGUGUUAGGUGGCUUCCACCCCUUAGUGCUGACUUCACGCAUUAAACACUCCGCCUGCCGAAUACCGCCGCACCGCUGAAACUCACAGGAAUUGACUGGCGCUCGCACAAGCGGUGCAUCAUCUUCUUUAAUUCUCAACAACGCGAACAAUCUUACCAGGUCUUGACUUCUUCUGACAACCCUGGAUACGAUCGUUCCCCUUUCAUCACU